UACGGAGGGAGCUAGCGUUGUUCGGAAUUACUGGGCGUAAAGCGCGCGUAGGCGGCUUUGUAAGUUAGAGGUGAAAGCCCGGGGCUCAACCCCGGAACUGCCUUUAAGACUGCAUCGCUUGAAUCCAGGAGAGGUGAGUGGAAUUCCGAGUGUAGAGGUGAAAUUCGUAGAUAUUCGGAAGAACACCAGUGGCGAAGGCGGCUCACUGGACUGGUAUUGACGCUGAUGUGCGAAACGUGGGGAGCAAACAGGG
RNAcentral lists this ribosomal RNA (253 nucleotides) under uncultured bacterium. RNAcentral's name for it is "partial 16S ribosomal RNA". It matches the Rfam family "Bacterial small subunit ribosomal RNA", at positions 524 to 777 of the family's 1533-position model. The record is from RNAcentral.